AAAAUCUUGGCUCCAGAUUCAAAAUUCAAAGCGUAUACAUAUAUAACCUACAUUAUUCUGGCUCCACUUUCAAAAUUCAAUCCCUCUCUCAAAUCCAGAGCAGCUCCACAUCCAAUCGUAAACCCUAGAACCUCCUCCAUCGCCGAUUCUCUCCGGUACAGUGAUCUUUGGGCCCUUUUUCAGAAACAUGUUGUCUGUGGCUACCUAAAUUAUACGCCGUUUGCCCUAUGCAAGUUUUGGUGACCACAACAUCAGGAUUUCGUACCUAAAUUUCGAUCAAGAUGUCGAUGCUUCAUUCUAUCUUCGCUAAGGGGGCUUUUAAUGUGAAAUGUUUAGGUUAAAGUUGUUGUGGUAGUGAAAUUAUCGUAUCAGCUGUGCUGGAUACCCUACCAACAAGAGUUUCACUGAUCCCCCAAAGCCUCUCAUCCAGAGUGCCGAAUAUCAAGUUUAAUGUUGCGAAGGUCUUGCAAUCUCGAGUUCCUAUAGUUGACCAUUCAAAAUUUGUGUUUGGAAAUAAGCAUGGUGAGAGUCAACUUCUUUGAGAAACAGGCCUUAAUACAUGUCGUUUAUCAUCCUGUGGCUACCUAAAUUAUACGUCGUUUUCCCUAUGCAAGUUUCGUGACCACAACAUCAGGAUUUCGUACCUAAAUUUCGAUCAAGAUGUCGAUGCUUCAUUCUAUCUUCGCUAAGGGGGUUUUCAAGGGUUCCAAAUGGUAAAACCUUAUCUAUAUGCUUAAUUGUGUUUUUGUCUGGAUUUACCUUGUGUUUGUUAAUUGACAGUGAAAUGUUUAGGUUAGUAUUGUUUCAAGAUUGUUAUAUUAAAUGCUGACAUGACAAUGGCAAGAUACCCAAAAAGAGAUUCAACUGUAAGUAACAUCUACUGUAAUAAUUGAUGAACACUUCAUAGUUUUGUUCUGGUAAAUAACUGAACAAAUCCAGACGUUGAUUCCCUCUGAUUCUCCGUCGAUCGACAAUAUAAAUCACCGUUUCCUACAAUCGCUUAAUCACCGGUGGAUGGAUAUAUUUGAUAAAUUCACAACCAACUGAUUCAGGUUCUGAAGAACUCGAUGCUCUAAGAGGAAGGUAUAUAUGAAGAUUAAUAGCUGUAAUUAUCCAUCUGAUACCGCCCUUCUGGAAAGUUGCACUUUCUAUUUCAAGUGGAAAAUUCGCAAAGAAUAAAAGUGAGGAAAAAGCACAAGGGAGAUAUUUUGGUCAUUCUCUUGAAGUUGUAACUGGAAUGAUACAUGAGAGUGUUACUUCGAAUGACAUAAGAGUGUUACUUCGAAUGGUUAAAAAAUAGUAAUCCAAUUUAUAAAAAAAAGAAGUAAUUUAGAAAGUUGACCUUUUGAGGUGUGAUUGACCUUUAGUAGUGUGUUUAUGUUAAUCUUGAUAAUCCAGCCCAAGUAGUGCUCUGGUGUAAAAAGCCAAGUGCCCAUGGAGAAAUCUAAAAGGCAUAACUAUGAUUCAUCCUAAAGCCCUACACUAACGUAAAUGAAGAGCCAUUCAGGCAACCUAAUUUCAUUUUGAUCCCCGACAUUUCGACUGACGAGUGAUAUCUCCCGCUCUUUUUGUGUUCGCUAAUUGAUCAGAGUCGCUUCCUCCUUGAGUCUCUGCUGCCACCGAUGGCCGUCGCCCCACAGUUCGGCAGCCACUUGAUCGAAGCCGGAAAUCUGUAAUCAAAGUUUCAAACAAAAGGAGGAUUGGCUAAGGACCUCAACCGUUUGGUCUUUAUAUUUAAUUACUAAUAUACAUUUGCGUUGGCGAAUUGAUCCUUUGGUGGAUUGCUUAUGUCUUCACAUACAGUAAAACAAGUGUUAAUUUUAUCACCGCUCCACCGCCGUACUGGCGGAACCGUCAGCCACUACUGCAACGCUUCAUGUCCAGAGCAUGCCGCAUUAUGAUGCGUUUAAAGUUGUUCAAAAAAGAAAUGGCAGGAUUGUUCGAUUGGUGCAGCGCGGAUGGCAGUGCUUUUUUUGCUUUAAGGAAUGUGGUUCAAUAUUACGCACCGGCUAGCUGAACAGUUCGAUAGGGUGCGCACAGCUAGCUGGGGAGUUUGAUUGGCUUUUACCCUAUGUUUAGGAAGUGCUUGAUCAUAUCCUGUUCAAGAUGGGUCCUUCUAAAAUCAAGAUUUCAGAGGUGAUCUCCAACUAAGGUCUCCUUUAUAGAUGAAUAUAUAAUAGAAGUUUCUUUUUCUUGUUGAUGUUCUUAGUGCAUUGAUAGAUGUGGGAGGACAUGCUAGGAAGUUGGAUGCUUCAUUUGAAAUUCUACAAGAAGCCAAGAAUAAUAAAGGAAUAGUUGGGAUCAUAUCAUAUAGCUAAUUGAUGGGAGCAUUUAACAAUGCAAGUUUUAAUCAUACAACAACCUUAUGCACUAUAAUCUAGAGAUGAGCUUGGUACUAUCUGGUACCAAAAAUCCCAAAAAUGGGUACCAGUAUCGGUACCGAAAAUACCUGCUAUAGUACGGUUCAUUACCGAUAGGGUAACCACAGUUAGGUUAAACAGUGUUUGAAACCACUGUUGGGUUAAACAAUGUUUCGAAACGACUGUUAGGUUAAACUGUGGUUUCAAAACACUGUUGGGUUAAAACAGUGCUUUGUGGAGAAAACAGUUGUUCGUUUUUUCCAAACAGUAGUUUGACUUUGGUCAAACAGCGUUUUGACUGUUGGGUCAAACAAUUAGGUUAAACAGUGUUUGAAACCACUGCUGGGUUAAACAGUGUUUCGAAACGACUGUUAGGUUAAAUAGUGGUUUCAAAACACUGUUGGGUUAAAACAGUGUUUUGUGGUGAAAACAGUGGUUCGCUUUUUUCCAAACGGUAGUUUGACUUUUUCCAAAUAGUAGUUUGACUUUUUCUAAACUGUGGUUUGACUUUGGUCAAACUGUGGUUCGACUUUGGUCAAACAGUGUACAUAAAGUAAGCUCUUGAACUGUGAAUUUAUUUUAUUUUGAAUUUUUUUUAUACACAUGAUCUUGAACUGUGAUUGAUAUUGUAUCAUCAAAUCAUCAAAUACAAAUUCAACAUCUCAAACACGUUAAAUUACUAGACCUGAAAACCAUUGGAUACAAAAACAUAGUUCAUUAACAUGAAUUCAGCAAUAUGUUCCUGACUCUUUUAACCUCUUCAUGAUUUACUCUGUUUUGUUUUGUUCAACGUACAACUCGGCUUCUCAAUCAAUUAAACCAUGCACCCUGCUCUCCAGUUUAGUACAGGUUAUAGGUUUAUAGUUUAAAACUUGGAACUAGACGUGUAAACCGAACCGACCAUUUAAAUUUCCUUAUCUAUUUUUUUCAUCAUUUCAGGAAUUUAAAGUUAAGUAUAAAUAGUUUCAUUAUGGAUUCUAAGAUAAGAGCUAAUGGGGACUUCACCUAAAGACCUGGACAAAGAUUUACGGCUUCAAUAUUCAUAUUUGUCAAGAAAGAUCUGAGAAUAUUUUCAGGCAAUUUCAUGAACCAUUUGUGAUGCCGCUAAGAAAGCGUCCGUGUGCAAAGCGGCUUAAAAAGAAAGAUGAGCAAGAACAAGAUGGUAAUCACUGGUUAAUCGAAAACGGUUGUUGAUCGAUUGAAGUUUAGUUAGUCAGACUCAUUAAUCGGUAGUCGGUCAAGGUCGGACCAAAUUGGUCUACAUCGGAUGUGAUAGAUAUGCAAUGAUUGAAUGUGAGAGAUUAGAUAGAAGUGAUAAGUUUUAUGUGCUAUUGAUUAGAUCCUUGAGAGCUGUAAGUUUGUAUUCAGCUGUAUUGAUGUUGAAUGACUAUUGGUGAUUUGAAAUUAUGGUUCAUGAUAGUUUGAAUGAGAAGUUUCUAUAGUUUGUUUG
This is a long non-coding RNA of Helianthus annuus (common sunflower), 3810 nucleotides long. RefSeq lists it as uncharacterized. The record is from RefSeq and is a predicted model, not a curated record. Lineage: Eukaryota; Viridiplantae; Streptophyta; Magnoliopsida; Asterales; Asteraceae. The transcript is spliced from 14 exons.